AAAAAUUCUAAUUAUAGUUAAUUCUCUAAAAAUUUAAUAAUUAAAUUAAACUUACAUUGGAAUAAUAAAACUAUGGCAGUUUUGAAUUGAACUCGAUCAAAACUAAUGUAGUUUUGAAUUGAAAGAGGAGCAACCUAUACUAAUGACAAACGGAACACCUUGUUUGUUUCUCUAAAUUCAUUUUGAUUGCUUAGUUUCUCUAGCCGCACAACCGCAGUCCCCCAUUCCUCCAGUUGUUCUUCGAUAAUUUCGCUUUGUACGUUACUCUUCGGUCGUUUCUCUUCUGCGUUUUACUGCAAACAUCUCUUCGGUCGUCUCUACUUCAGUUCGGUUGGUGUCAACAGCUCGUUCUCUGCAGACUUAUUUUUUCAGUUCUGAUAUGUGGUAUGGUUGGAUCAUAGCUUUCUCAAGUACUUCGUUCAAUUCUGGACAUGUUUCAGAAGGAAUGGUCUUAAAUCUGGCGGCAAUUGUUUUCUCAGCACAACAUUUCCAGCAAAAAUGAAACAGAGAAGAAUAGCGAUGUGGGUGCCCUUAAUAUAUUUAAGAAAAACUUAGGCUUUUCAUUUAUUAUUAAUUUUUUUUUUUAAAGAUGCUGAUAAUCCCUCAACCACAAUGAAUUUCUGUAGGGUUCAAAAUUUUAUUUUGCUAAUUUGAUAUGAUAUUUUAUUUUGAUAUCGCCAAUAUUGAUUUUUUGCUUCUUAAUUCUUGCAGGUUGCAUGGAUACAAAAGUUUGGCUUGUUUUCCUCUCUUCAAAUUUCAAGCUAUAAGCAAGAACUACCCAAGAAUUUGAGUGAUUUGAUACUAGAAUGUGUCAUUUGAUGGAGCAAUUUAAUUUUAUUUGGUUUAUUGUGUCGUCAUAUUUUUUUUUUAACUUAGUUGCAAUGUGUUGUAAAUUACUUUUUUUUUUCUUGUUAUUUUGUAUUAUUAGUGACCGACAAAAUCAUAUGAUGUGAUUUGAAAACAUGUAUUUUUAACUUGAGUUUGAGCUCGAACUCGAGCUUAGUAAAAUAGCUUAUCCAGCUUGAGGUAAUAAAUGAAUGAAGUUUGAGUUUGACUUGUUAAUAUUAUAAACGUGCUAAUAAACGAACUGAACUCGAGUUUGGUUUGUUAAUAUUACGAUCAAAUUAAUGAAGGGAUUGAGUUUAAGCUCGGCUCAUUAGUAUUAUAAAUGAACUUAAAGUAAGACGAGCUCAAAAAGAGCUCGAAUUUAAUAAAUUUUAAAUGAGUCGAGCUCGAUCAUUAAUUUUAAAGCUCGAGUUGAACUUGAGCCUUAAAUAAAACUGACCCAUCUUGAGCUAGUCAAAGUUUGGCUCAGUUUGGCUUCGUUCGUUUACAUCUUUAGCCAUGAGCCUUGCCUUUUGUUCCUCUCCUCGUCGGCGUCUUCUCCUCUUCUCUCCGUGGUUGGCGUUGAUGGCUUGUCCUUCCUUGAUUGCCACCAAUGAUGGUUUAUGGGAUGGAAAUGUGAGAUUGAUUGGGUAUGAGAGAUAUUGAGAGUUUAAUAACUUGAUUUAAGAGAAAAUUAGGAGAUUUUAGUGAUUGGGUUGAGGGAAAAUUAUGAGAAUGUGAAUGGGAGAGAGAUUGAUUGUGAGAAAGAGAGAGAGAGAGAG
Molecule: unclassified non-coding RNA, 1607 nt
Filed under: Hevea brasiliensis (rubber tree)
Lineage: Eukaryota; Viridiplantae; Streptophyta; Magnoliopsida; Malpighiales; Euphorbiaceae
Source: RNAcentral